GAUGAAGAACGUAGCGAAAUGCGAUACUUGGUGUGAAUUGCAGAAUCCCGUGAACCAUCGAGUCUUUGAACGCAAGUUGCGCCCGAAGCCACUAGGCCGAGGGCACGCCUGCCUGGGCGUCACACGCCGUUGCCCCCCCAUCUACUCCUUCGGGAUUGCGGGGGGGCGGAUGAUGGCCUCCCGUGCGCCUAGCCGCGCGGUUGGCAUAAAUACCAAGUCCUCGGCGACGCACGCCACGACAAUCGGUGGUUGCGAAACCUCGGUUGCCCGUCGUGUGCGUUCGUCGCGCAUCGGGGGCUCGAAAAAAUGCUCGGCUCCGGCUGGGCUUUCAACGCGACCCCAGGUCAGGCGGGGUUACCCGCUGAAUUUAAGCAUAUCAAUAAGCGGAGGA
Molecule: unclassified non-coding RNA, 391 nt
Filed under: soil metagenome
Description: partial contains 5.8S ribosomal RNA, internal transcribed spacer 2, and large subunit ribosomal RNA
Rfam family: 5.8S ribosomal RNA (bases 1-122)
Source: RNAcentral